RNAcentral lists this ribosomal RNA (501 nucleotides) under uncultured bacterium. Its description in RNAcentral is "bacterial SSU rRNA". It matches the Rfam family "Bacterial small subunit ribosomal RNA", at positions 1 to 507 of the family's 1533-position model. The record is from RNAcentral.
CACGAGUUUGAUCCUGGCUCAGGAUGAACGCUAGCGGCAGGCCUAACACAUGCAAGUCGAGGGGUAGAGUUCUUCGGGACUUGAGACCGGCGCACGGGUGCGUAACGCGUAUGCAAUCUACCUUAUACAGGGGAAUAGCCCAGAGAAAUUUGGAUUAAUGCCCCAUAGUGUUAUCGAAUCGCAUGGUUUGAUAACUAAAGUUCCAACGGUAUAAGAUGAGCAUGCGUCCCAUUAGUUAGUUGGUAAGGUAACGGCUUACCAAGGCAACGAUGGGUAGGGGGUCCUGAGAGGGAGAUCCCCCACACUGGUACUGAGACACGGACCAGACUCCUACGGGAGGCAGCAGUGAGGAAUAUUGGACAAUGGGCGCAAGCCUGAUCCAGCCAUGCCGCGUGCAGGAUGACGGUCCUAUGGAUUGUAAACUGCUUUUAUACAGGAAGAAACCCUCCCACGUGUGGGAGCUUGACGGUACUGUAGGAAUAAGGAUCGGCUAACUACGUG